This 253-nucleotide ribosomal RNA is filed under the name uncultured bacterium. Its description in RNAcentral is "partial 16S ribosomal RNA". It matches the Rfam family "Bacterial small subunit ribosomal RNA", at positions 524 to 776 of the family's 1533-position model. The record is from RNAcentral.
UACGGGGGGAGCAAGCGUUGUUCGGAUUUACUGGGCGUAAAGGGCGCGUAGGCGGCUUGACAAGUCAGUUGUGAAAUCUCCGGGCUUAACCCGGAGCGGCCAAGUGAUACUGUCGUGCUAGAGUGCGGAAGGGGCUACUGGAAUUCUCGGUGUAGCGGUGAAAUGCGUAGAUAUCGAGAGGAACACCUGCGGCGAAGGCGGGUAGCUGGGCCGACACUGACGCUGAGGCGCGAAAGCCAGGGGAGCGAACGGG